RNAcentral lists this long non-coding RNA (1033 nucleotides) under Fragaria vesca (wild strawberry). RNAcentral describes it as "long non-coding RNA (FVES_LNC003956)". The record is from RNAcentral. Lineage: Eukaryota; Viridiplantae; Streptophyta; Magnoliopsida; Rosales; Rosaceae.
CUGAAAAAUCAGAAAUUUGAGGUAUAUCAUACCGGAGUCCAACCAGAUUCAUAACAAACUAGCGGAUGAAGUGGAUCCAUCUGAGUACGAGUGACUAACAUGUAGGUAUUGUUUGAUUCAGAGGAUACUGGAGAUAACAACGAAUCAACCAACGAAUCGAUUACAAUUAGCCAACUGCACCCAAAUGCUAUUCGUAUAUAGAUAACCAAGUACCAGGCAAAUGAGAAUGAGAGAGAAUGGAAGGUUAUUGAAUGAAGUGAGGUUUGUUGCAUAGGAGGUGGGAGAUGAAAAUGUAGAAGUAUAUUCGUCCACAUGGCGUCCCCCCGUCACUAAACGAAACACACACCGACGCACAACAUACAUGAGCACGUGCUUGAGGAGACAUAUAUCACUCAAGUACAGCUAUUUAAUGCGACAGAGGGAGGGGGGUUGCAGCAAUUGUCCAGGCGGGGACGGGGGGGGGGGGGGGGGGGGGGACUGUAGCAGGCGUCAGCCUAUCACGCGUUACUGAUGAUUGAGAUUCGCAUACAGGUUUCAGCAGUGAGAUUGUGUUUCAGCAGUGAACACAAAAUUGUAAAAGUAGCCGAAUAUAGGAACCGCGAAUCUAUGCCAUUCCCGUGUGUGCACGUUAGUCUACGAUACGUACUUUUGUAGGCGUAGCCGCUGCAGGUUGUAACAUAAGUACCCGUUGAAUACUGUACGUCAAUAAUACCAUAGUAUCAACAGACAACGAUGAUUAACAACGGAGCAAGUACAUGUUGAACCAAACGGGUGAGAGUCUCCUGAUUUCCCUAAUUUCAUUUGUGCACAUCCAGACGCGUAUCAUGUGUAACAAACUUUUCAUUUAUAUAAUUAUGGUUAAUAGUGAAUAUGAAUAUUAAAUAAAGUUAUUUAAUUUAAAUUUAUGAGUUUAGGCAUUUAGAGCUUAGGAACCCUAAAGAUUUAGGGGAUAGGCUUUAAGGUUAGGGUUAAUCACGUUUACUUGUUAAUCACGGAGAAACUGUCCCGUCCAGCGGUCAUGACCGGUUGCGGG